Molecule: long non-coding RNA, 1256 nt
Filed under: Coffea arabica (coffee)
Lineage: Eukaryota; Viridiplantae; Streptophyta; Magnoliopsida; Gentianales; Rubiaceae
Description: long non-coding RNA (CARA_LNC006608)
Source: RNAcentral
AAGGGUCGAAGCUUUCUUCUUUAUUCAUCUGCAACUUCGCAACUAUGACAUUCAGUUCAUACACAGCUAACAAAAUCCGAACAAAUAGCAAACUUUUGAACCAAAGCAACUGCAUCUUAUCAUCAAAAUCCAACCAUAUACUAUGCAUACCCCAGGAUUCUUCAACCCAGAUCACGCACAACAGACAACCAAAAAACAGUCAUGAACUCUCGCACACCCAGCAACUAACCUCACAUGAAUUCCCAAACAAAGUUUUGAAACAUGUCUCAGACAAGGAAUAUCUUUCUUAAGAUGACAAGGAAUAUCUCUCUCCAACUCAUCAAGGAUUAGCAAACAUGUAGCAAGUGAUAAAAAACCAGCUUUCAACUCGCAGACAUGAAGAUCUAAGUGAUAAAGGCAGCAUAGCUACAACAACAGUCAGACAGUUCAAGAUUCACAUCUUAUAGCCUUCGAUUCUCAUGGACAAUAGUGUUAAGGGAUCCAAGAAAGAUGCUAGGAUUACCUUGAACCUUUUGUAAAGCAGGAAUAAACGUGAAAAUCCUUCAAGAGAUCACGAUAAUCUAGAAAUGCAGUUCAAGAAGACUUGCUGCAGAAAUUUCAGCGUUGACGAAAUCAGCACUUUGGGUCGCGAUUUGAGAGGGUUAAAGGGAUUUUUUCUGAAUGAUUUCUUCACUAGCGUUGCUCAUGGGUAUCCGUAGAUGGUGCAGAAAAAGAAAUCUCGCUCUUAGGGUUAGAGGUUAGGUCGGAAUCUGACUGGAAAGUGGGCUAGUUCGCCAGCCUGUUAAUGGGUAUUUUGUAGAAAAAAUUUCUGCACUUUUCUGUUUUCUAUCUCGUUGUCUCCUUUUUUUUUCUUCCUGAUUUCCUAGACUUCCUUCAGCCGUCACCUUCCCUCCAGUCUCUCCUCCCUUCUCUCGAUUCUUUCCUCCCUUUCUUUUUUCUUUCUUUUUUCCUGCCCGAAAGCUCUCUUUCUUUUCCUCCCCAAUUUCUUCCUUUUUCUGGUUUCUUUCUCUUCCUUUCUGUUGUUUCCUCCUCCUCCCUUGCUUGCUCUCUUGAUCCUCAGUCGUCACCUCCUCUCCCAAUCUCCCUUCCUCUCUCGGUUCCUUUUCCUUCCUUUCUUCUCCCUUUUGCUUUCUACCGAAACCCUCUUUUUUUUUUCUUUGUUUCUCCUCUGCCUUCCUCUCCCCUGAAGCCUCUCUUCUUGUUCCAAAGCUUCCCUUUUUCUUUUCUAUUCAACCAUUCCCUUUUUUCUAUCCCCC